AUUGAACGCUGGCGGCAGACUUAACACAUGCAAGUCGAACGAGUGGCGGAAGGGUGAGUAAUGCGUGGGAAUCUAGCUUAUGGAGGGGGUUAAAUACGGGAAACUGUAGAUAAUACCGCGUACCAUAGGAUGAGCCCACGUGGGAUUAGGGAGUUGGUGGGGUAAAGGCUCACCAAGCCGACGAUCCCUAGCUGGUCUGAGAGGAUGACCAGCCACACUGGGACUGAGACACGGCCCAGACUCCUACGGGAGGCAGCAGUGGGGAAUAUUUCGCAAUGGGGGCAACCUGACGCAGCCAUGCCGCGGGAAUGAAGAAGGCCUUCGGUUUGUAAAGUUCUUUCGGUAGCGAGGCGUUAUCUACAGAAGAAGCACCGGCUAACUCCGUGCCAGCAGCCGCGGUAAUAC
This 405-nucleotide ribosomal RNA is filed under the name uncultured bacterium. RNAcentral's name for it is "partial 16S ribosomal RNA". It matches the Rfam family "Bacterial small subunit ribosomal RNA", at positions 30 to 526 of the family's 1533-position model. The record is from RNAcentral.